This 235-nucleotide unclassified non-coding RNA is filed under the name Scleroderma yunnanense. RNAcentral describes it as "partial internal transcribed spacer region". The stretch from base 1 to 46 matches the Rfam family "Eukaryotic small subunit ribosomal RNA", at positions 1786 to 1831 of the family's 1831-position model. Lineage: Eukaryota; Fungi; Basidiomycota; Agaricomycetes; Boletales; Sclerodermataceae. The record is from RNAcentral.
AAGUCGUAACAAGGUUUCCGUAGGUGAACCUGCGGAAGGAUCAUUAUCGAAACCAAAGGCCUAGGAGGUCCCCCGCCUCCGAAGCUUCGAACCUUUCAACACCAGUGUGCACCCGCCGUAGGUCCUUCGGGAUCUAUGUCUUCUCUUUCGAACUCGUAUGUCUACAGAAUGUAUGCGUCGCUCCGGCGACGGGUUAAGCCCUAUACAACUUUCAGCAAUGGAUCUCUUGGCUCUC